Molecule: unclassified non-coding RNA, 3210 nt
Filed under: Penaeus chinensis
Lineage: Eukaryota; Metazoa; Arthropoda; Malacostraca; Decapoda; Penaeidae
Description: trithorax group protein osa-like, transcript variant X1
Source: RNAcentral
AGCAACGCAUCCGAACGAAGUGUUGGGCUCGGGAAGGUAGUGUCAAUAAUAACGAAUUUCCGAGCGAUUUUUUUCGCUCUUUAACCUCCUUUUCUCGCUCUGUCCUCGCCCCCCUGCGACGGAGAAGGAGGAGGAUAAGUGAGGAUAAUUAGGAAGCGAGAAAAGGGUGAGGGAGAGGUGUAAUAACAGCGAGAGAGUGGAGUACAGAGGACGCGUGAAGCACACGCGAGAGAGAAAUGCCCAGCAAGUGACACAAUCAACAGGCAAGAUGGACAAUAGCAUGUAUUACCAGUAUAACCGAUUUGCCGACAAGAGCAAAUCGGAGCAUGAAGGCUAUGCAACAGCCCCUCCAGUGACAAACACAGUGCAGAAUUCAAACCAAAACCAAUUUGGCAAAUUUGGGGCGACCACAAUGCAGAGGCAAUCGCAGUACCAAGGUUCCUACAAUUCAAUGGACACCAAUGACUCCAGUCAGUCCACCAAAUUUGGAAAUACAUCCCAGAGACCCCAGCAGUAUAGUGAGUCUGGGGAUGCCAACAAAACAGAUGCAUCCCAGACAGAGAGGUAUGGAAGUGGAUCACAGAAGCAAGGACAGUAUGAUGCAUCCUAUGAAAUGAUGGACAUGCAGAAUUCAAAUAGGUACGGGAGUGGCUACGGGAAUCCAUACAUGAUGGGCGGCUACUACGAUGACUACGGGCAUUCAGGGUAUUAUAGUGACUACGGGAUGUAUAGUGGGUAUGGCUAUUCACAUACAUCUGAGAGGUAUGGAGAGAUGGAUUACUAUGGUGGUUCCGGUAUGCAGGAAGGUUAUGGAGGCACCAGUCAGUCUGGGAACUAUGGAAGUGGGACUCAGUCUCAGUCAAAUAAUAAAUUUGGCACUAAGGACCAGUCUGAGGAAUACGGAAGUUAUAUGACUAAUAGGUUUACAAAUAAAACCCAAAGUGAGAACUAUGGAACCCCGCCUCCCCCACCAGGGAACAGAUUCGGAAGUAAAGAUCAGCCAAACAACUAUGAGCCCCCCCCACCACCCCCACCAAACCGAUUUGGGAAUAAAGACCAGCCAAGUAAUUAUGGGACUCCACCUCCACCGCCAAGCCGAUUUGGCAACAAAGAUAUACCUAAUUUAUACGGAACUCCACCGCCCCCACCCAGCCGAUUUGGGAACAAGGAACAGUCAAGCAACUAUGGAACACAGCCACCUCCACCUGGCCGUUUCGGGAACAAGGACCAAGUGGACAACUAUGGAACUCCUCCACCUCCCCCACCAGGACGCUUUGGAGGCAAGGAUCCACCAAACAAAUAUGACCAGCCACCCCCUCCUCCACCAAGUCGCUUCGGUAGCAAGGACCAACCAAACAAUUACUCAAACCCUCCUCCUCCCCCAGGCAGAUUUGGAAACAAAGAUCAGGGAGACAGCUUUGGAAAAUCCAAUGUUCCAGGUCGAUUUGGAAAUAAUGACAAUGACAAUGGUGGAUAUGGAACCCCACCUUUAGGCAACAGAUAUGGAGGCAAAGAUAUGCCAAACAGGUUUGGAGGUAAUGACCAGGGAGACGGCUACUCAAGCUCCUAUCCACACAACCGCUUUGGGAAUUCAGAGUACUCGGACAGCUACAGCAAAUCAAAUCAAGGGAACAGGCCUGGUAAUUCUGGCCCUUCAAACAAGUUUGGAAAUUCAGACCAGAUGAACAGAUUUAAUAAUGAGGAUCCCUCAGAAAACUACGGGGGAAACCAAGGCUACUCUAACAGAUAUAGUGGUGGAAAUGACCGUGAUGACUAUAGGAACUCAGACCAGAUAGACAGGUUUGGAAAGCCACCUCAGCAUAGCAAAUCCAACUUGUCCAACUCAUCAAAUGCACCCAAUGCAUCGCAGAGCUUACUUGGAACACCAAAUAUGAACCAGCAAAAUAAUUUUGGAAACAACACAAACAAGCAGCAGCAACAGCAGCAGCAACAACAACAACAGAAGCAGCAGCAGCAACAGCAGCAGCAGCUUAACAAACCAACACAGAGCUUACUGGGUUUCCCAAAUUCGGGGAAACAAAACUCAAUGGGAAACACAGGGCAGAAAUUUAACCCUGCUCCAGGGCUCUUAGAUCUACCAGGCAGCAACCAGAUGAAUAAAUUUGGGAAUAACAACCAGAAGCAGCAGCAGCCAUUUGGCAUAAUGCCAAGUCUGUUAGGGUUUCCUGAUGCAGAAAUGUUUAAUAAAUUCACAAGUGCCAUGCAGAAGAUGGCACAGGCUCAGUUCAACGCCGCAGGUGGCUUGUUGCCGCCCCCAGAUAUGGCCAAUCGAUGUGGUGGAAAGAAUGCAGAGAUUGCCCCUCCAUCCAGCAUGGCCCCUUGUAAGGAGCCUGAGCGCUUUAAUGAACUCCCCAAGAAACCAGUGGCCACAACCAAGAAGCCACUUUCACAGCAAGGCCCACCUCGGAACCCUACACAGCAGGGUAUGCUACCUGUAAGGGGUCUUCAAGCACAGCUCCAGAGCCUUCAGGCACAAAUCCAAAGUAGGGGCCCAAGUUUAGGAAUGGCUGUAGAGCCAGGGAAGAACACGGUGCACUUUGACCUCCUAACUGGGAAGAUGAUUGGCCAGAAGCCACCCCCAAUGACCUUCCAAAGAGGGGGGAAAGGAGGACCACCCCAAGGACGUUUCAGCAAACGGGCUGGACUUGGCAUGAAGUCAGCCAUGGGAGAGGGCCACUAUGGCAAGGGAUUCAAGGGACAGAAGCAGAUGAACAAGAUGGCUAUGAAGAUGGGGAAGAACAAGGGUCAAAUGAAUAAGGCACAAAUGAACAAAGCCAUGAAGCAAGGCCAGUUCAAUAAAGGCAACACAAAGAUGGGCCAGAGGAUGGGGCAGUAUAACCAGUCAAUGGCAUUCCAGAAUCCAUGGGCCAAAAAGGUUCAACGUGAUGCUGUCGAGGAUAAGGUAGCACUGGUGCCGUGAGCCCUCUUCCACCACCACCACUACUCUCCAGGCAGAUAAACCAGAAUUCGGAUACAACUAGGCACCAGGAGAAUGAUCCUCCCCUCCCCACUGUGGUGCCAUAAAGCAGCAUAAUGCAUGGCAGGAUGUUCAACUAGGCCAGUUGCAUGCCACUGCUCCAAUCACAUCACUGUUUGGAAUGAAGAUGAUGCGCAAGAUGGGAUGGACUCCUGGUGAAGGUCUUGGCAAGAACAGGAAGGGGACGCUCGAGCCCCUGCUUGUCGACGUCA